Molecule: long non-coding RNA, 604 nt
Filed under: Erythranthe guttata (spotted monkey flower)
Lineage: Eukaryota; Viridiplantae; Streptophyta; Magnoliopsida; Lamiales; Phrymaceae
Description: long non-coding RNA (EGUT_LNC003053)
Source: RNAcentral
GAUAUUUGAAAAUACAUCGCCAUGUGAGAGACGAAAACAUAUUCGUCACAAUAAAAACGUUACUUGAAGGCAAGUCCGGCCUAGUGCGUUUUAUAUGAUUGAACCCUAGUGCCUUGCGAUUGGUACGUAUUAGUUGUUUUUCCCAUAGCGAGAUAUCGAUGGAAGAUUGUGUGCCUAUAUUUUCAUUUACAUUUUUGAAUUUUCUAGAUUAAGUCUAGAUAGGAAAUUCAUAGAUAGAUAGAAUAUAAAUAUAUAGCAUGUUGAAUUUUCGUUUCGAGUUAUUCGGAAGAAACCAAGAAUCAAGACGAAGAAGCAAGACAAGACGGAGAACGACCAAAUGAUAAGACGGAGAAUGACCAACCGCAACACUGCCCUAGCUAAGUACCGACGUUGGUGGCUUGUUCCAGGCCAAGUGAGCCGCCCCACCCAUUUUUUACUUUGCAUCUUGCACGGUUAGCAAAUAUGUUUUUCUAUUAGACCAGUUAAUUAGGUUGCAGUAAAGUAUAUUUUUUUAGCAUUUAAGGAUAGGAGAUAUUAUCUAUGACAAAGUUCUUGGGAUUUUUUUAUGAAUUUUUGGACAUUUGGAAAUUUCGAGUAGUUCGGA